This 254-nucleotide ribosomal RNA is filed under the name uncultured bacterium. RNAcentral describes it as "partial 16S ribosomal RNA". It matches the Rfam family "Bacterial small subunit ribosomal RNA", at positions 524 to 776 of the family's 1533-position model. The record is from RNAcentral.
UACGUAGGGUGCGAGCGUUGUCCGGAAUUAUUGGGCGUAAAGAGCUCGUAGGCGGUUUGUCGCGUCUGCUGUGAAAACCCGAGGCUCAACCUCGGGCCUGCAGUGGGUACGGGCAGACUAGAGUGUGGUAGGGGAGACUGGAAUUCCUGGUGUAGCGGUGGAAUGCGCAGAUAUCAGGAGGAACACCAAUGGCGAAGGCAGGUCUCUGGGCCACAACUGACGCUGGAGGAGCGAAAGCGUGGGGAGCGAACAGG